This is a non-coding RNA of Pelobates cultripes (western spadefoot toad), 518 nucleotides long. NCBI's taxonomy places the organism in Eukaryota, Metazoa, Chordata, Amphibia, Anura, Pelobatidae. The record is from the annotation of a GenBank genome assembly.
CUCAGGGACUUCACAAAGAAAAGAACAUCAACAAGAGAAAGCAAUAAAAGUCUUCAGGGAAUUCCAUGCUAAAGUUCAUCUUGGUGAAAAGGAGGUGGCAGGCAUCCACUGACUGAGGGCAAGUCAUUCAAUACAUACACAGCGCAUGGAGCUCUAUGAGAGAUCCUGCCAUCCAGCCAUUGGUUGCACAAAUAAUAAUCCAGUCGGUGUACCACUCCAUAGAACGUAGCAAAUAGUAGAAAAAAUAUAUUUAAUAAAAAUACAAAUAGUACACAAAAAUCAAAGAACACAGGCCCAAAUAUACAAAAACAAGUGAGCCGGCUAAUGCAUAGACCAUAUGAUAUCUUAAAGAAUCAACCAUUUUUUUAUUUCUUGUUUAAAGGGACUCUAUAGGCACCAAAACAACUUUAGAUUAGUGAAGCAGUUUUGGUGUAUAGAUCAUGCCUCUGCAGUUUCACUUCUCAAAUCUCUGACAUUUAGGCGUUAAAUCACUGUGUUUAUGUAGUCCUAGUCACUCC